CAUGGACUCCUCUCCACAACAGAGGUUUUUAAUAGGGUACCUAGACCUGACUUCAGCUUGAGGUGUGGGGUCCCAGCACCACCUUUCAGGACCCGGAUGUACAAGUUCCCUCCGGUUUCCUCAAGAUAUGGACAGCAUAAAAGGACACAUCAACACCACGAAGGCUUUGCUCUCAUAACUCUCUGAUAGCCCACCCUGUGUUCCCCAGACGCGAGCUGAAGCAUCUGAACAGCGGUCCCCCAGCCAACCGUCCGCAAGGCCUCUCUUCCCUGACCUGUAGCCUCGAUUUGUGCCUGUGUAACAUGGUUUCCCAGUCUUCAGCACCUGGUUGUCCCCUCCAAUCUGUCAGCGUGCUUCUUACAAUCUGACACCCAGAAGCCAGCACCAGGUCGGAAGCAGCCUCACUGUGGGCUUCUAGCUCCGUCGGAGGGAAACCGUUUCGUGUUCAUUCGUCUCCUCCGCAGAGGCAGGGCAGCCUCAGGUGGAUGUAGCUUCACCCAGACUUCAGAAGCUUCCCAGACUUCACGUUUGGAAACAGAGUUUACAAGGCAGGAGAUCUUACCUACGUCCUGGGGAUUGGGCCG
RNAcentral lists this long non-coding RNA (584 nucleotides) under Fukomys damarensis (Damara mole-rat). Its description in RNAcentral is "lncRNA (ENSFDAG00000032943.1)". The record is from RNAcentral. Lineage: Eukaryota; Metazoa; Chordata; Mammalia; Rodentia; Bathyergidae.